This 84-nucleotide microRNA precursor is filed under the name Bombyx mori (domestic silkworm). RNAcentral describes it as "mir-2807 microRNA precursor family". It matches the Rfam family "mir-2807 microRNA precursor family". The record is from Rfam by way of RNAcentral. Lineage: Eukaryota; Metazoa; Arthropoda; Insecta; Lepidoptera; Bombycidae.
UUAGCUCAUAUUUGUAUGGAGUGGGAUCGUUUGCGUACGUUUGCCGCUAGGGGCGCUGUUCUAACUGCAUACAAAAUUGGGUUA